GUAAAAUGCAAUAAUUUUCUGUUCUCAAUUUUCUUUUUAUACAAACAUGGAAAAUAAAUGAAUAAAUAAAUUACUUCCUUUCCUUCUUUUCUCUAUGAAAAAAAAUAAUUUUCAUUUCCAUAGAGAUUUUAUUUUCCUUAUAAUUUCAGUCACUUUUACUUUCCCAGCUUUUAUUUCUAUGUAAAUAGAAAACUUAUGGAAGAAAAAGCGAGUGGGAUUUUAUGGAAAGUAAAAUCCAUAUAGAAAGUAAAGAAAAUAAAAGGAAAGGAAGUGAUUUUCAUGUUUUGAUGAAAGGAAAAUUGAGGAAAGAAAAUUAUUACAUUUUUAUAAUUAUUCCAAUAUUGAAUAAAUAAAGAAUAAUUAUUUGAGGAAUAAAGGAUAUAGAGGGAAAAUGGGAAAAAUUAAUACUAUUUUCUAUUAUUUUUCGCUCAAUUUGAGUGGAAAAUGAAAUGGCUUUCUAUACAAAUCCAAAUAUUUUUUUUUUCUUUUCAUAUUUUUCUUUCUUACAAAACAGAGCCGAAUGCACUUUU
RNAcentral lists this unclassified non-coding RNA (530 nucleotides) under Hevea brasiliensis (rubber tree). Lineage: Eukaryota; Viridiplantae; Streptophyta; Magnoliopsida; Malpighiales; Euphorbiaceae. The record is from RNAcentral.